GAGGGUAUAACUCAAGCGAUAGAAUGUAUGCUUAGCAUGCAUGAGGUCCUGGGUUCAAUUCCCAGUACCUCCU
This 73-nucleotide transfer RNA is filed under the name Camelus bactrianus (Bactrian camel). It matches the Rfam family "tRNA". Rfam says of the family: Transfer RNA (tRNA) molecules are approximately 80 nucleotides in length. Lineage: Eukaryota; Metazoa; Chordata; Mammalia; Artiodactyla; Camelidae. The record is from Rfam by way of RNAcentral. RNAcentral also lists the same sequence under 2 other names.